CAAGAUCUUCAACCUACACACUGGUUCUACGUUGCUCAAAGUUCUCUUGAGCUGACAAUCUCGUGACUCCAGAGGCAGAUAAGAAAGAAGGUCGGAGUCCAAAGACCACUGAAUUUGGAAUCAGAAGCUCAGUUGGAAUCGCAGCUCCGCUCUGUGCUUUUGAUGGAAACCUGAGUGGAACUCACAGUGAAGAAAUUGCUCUCAUCCCUCGCAUAAGUCUUCAUCAAUAUGUAAUCCUAAAGAGUUGUCUGGUACAAUGAAAUAUUCAAUAUGAAGGGACCCAUAGCCCAGACAUGUCAGAUAUAAUUAGAAAAUGGAAUUUUAAUGAAAAAAGAGGUCUUUCAAACAUUCCUGAAGACAAGAUCAAAGCUGAAUGGAAAUUUUGACAUUCAAACAAAAGAUUCAAGAGAGGGGCCAAUCACAGCUUCCAAAUUGCCUAGAACUACCCAGGGGAGUAUCUGUGGGAUCCAUCUCUCAUCCUCUGAAGGUGUCAACUCUUCUCAUAGCCCUCUGAAGGUGUCAACUCUUGAACCGAAGUAGUCCUGGACUGGAGUUCUCAAGAGUGGCUGAAUCCUUGGUGGCACACCUGAAAGAGGGACACUUUCUCUAGGGAGGAGAAGAAAGGCAUUGAAUGAGGAGAGAGCCUUGAACGUUGUCACCUUUGGCAGCAGAAAAGAGAUCCAGGUAAGAAUUCAAAGGAGAAUUAGUCUUAGCAGAAAGGAAUUGAGCUGAGGAGGGAAACUAGUCCAGGGAGCCUGGUUGAACAAUAAGCCUUGGGAGAGGAGGAUGCUGCAAUACUUGAGUUUUGCCCAGAGGAAUUCCGUGUUUACACCUCCCUUCCAAGGUUCUUUUU
This 853-nucleotide long non-coding RNA is filed under the name Monodelphis domestica (gray short-tailed opossum). Its description in RNAcentral is "lncRNA (ENSMODG00000050916.1)". Lineage: Eukaryota; Metazoa; Chordata; Mammalia; Didelphimorphia; Didelphidae. The record is from RNAcentral.